This 414-nucleotide ribosomal RNA is filed under the name uncultured bacterium. Its description in RNAcentral is "bacterial SSU rRNA". It matches the Rfam family "Bacterial small subunit ribosomal RNA", at positions 505 to 916 of the family's 1533-position model. The record is from RNAcentral.
GUGCCAGCAGCCGCGGUAAUACGUAGGUGGCAAGCGUUGUCCGGAUUUAUUGGGCGUAAAGGGAGCGCAGGCGGUCUUUUAAGUCUGAAUGUGAAAGCCCUCAGCUUAACUGAGGAAGAGCAUCGGAAACUGAAAGACUUGAGUGCAGAAGAGGAGAGUGGAACUCCAUGUGUAGCGGUGAAAUGCGUAGAUAUAUGGAAGAACACCAGUGGCGAAGGCGGCUCUCUGGUCUGUUACUGACGCUGAGGCUCGAAAGCAUGGGUAGCGAACAGGAUUAGAUACCCUGGUAGUCCAUGCCGUAAACGAUGAGUGCUAGGUGUUGGGAGGUUUCCGCCUCUCAGUGCUGCAGCUAACGCAUUAAGCACUCCGCCUGGGGAGUACGACCGCAAGGUUGAAACUCAAAUAAAUUGACGG